AACGAACGCUGGCGGCAUGCCUAACACAUGCAAGUCGAACGAGACCUUCGGGUCUAGUGGCGCACGGGUGCGUAACGCGUGGGAACCUGCCCUUAGGUUCGGAAUAACUCCCCGAAAGGGGUGCUAAUACCGGAUAAUGUCUUCGGACCAAAGAUUUAUCGCCUUUGGAUGGGCCCGCGUUGGAUUAGCUGGUUGGUAGGGUAAAAGCCUACCAAGGCGACGAUCCAUAGCUGGUCUGAGAGGAUGAUCAGCCACACUGGGGCUGAGACACGGCCCAGACUCCUACGGGAGGCAGCAGUGGGGAAUAUUGGACAAUGGGCGAAAGCCUGAUCCAGCAAUGCCGCGUGAGUGAUGAAGGCCUUAGGGUUGUAAAGCUCUUUUACCCGGGAUGAUAAUGACAGUACCGGGAGAAUAAGCUCCGGCUAACUCCGUG
Molecule: ribosomal RNA, 433 nt
Filed under: uncultured bacterium
Lineage: Bacteria
Description: partial 16S ribosomal RNA
Rfam family: Bacterial small subunit ribosomal RNA
Source: RNAcentral